GGAUAACCGUAGCUUCGAGGCUCA
RNAcentral lists this non-coding RNA (24 nucleotides) under Arabidopsis thaliana (thale cress). The record is from RNAcentral. Lineage: Eukaryota; Viridiplantae; Streptophyta; Magnoliopsida; Brassicales; Brassicaceae.